This 425-nucleotide ribosomal RNA is filed under the name uncultured bacterium. RNAcentral's name for it is "bacterial SSU rRNA". It matches the Rfam family "Bacterial small subunit ribosomal RNA", at positions 355 to 796 of the family's 1533-position model. The record is from RNAcentral.
UAGGGAAUUUUCCACAAUGGGCGAAAGCCUGAUGGAGCAACGCCGCGUGCAGGAUGAAUGUCUUCGGAUUGUAAACUGCUUUUAUCUGUGACGAUUAUGACGGUAGCAGAUGAAUAAGGAUCGGCUAACUCCGUGCCAGCAGCCGCGGUCAUACGGAGGAUCCAAGCGUUAUCCGGAAUUACUGGGCGUAAAGAGUUGCGUAGGUGGCAUUGUAAGCAAGUAGUGAAAGCGUCCGGCUCAACCGGAUAAACAUUACUUGAACUGCAAAGCUAGAGGAUGAGAGAGGUUAUUGGAAUUCCCUGUGUAGGAGUGAAAUCCGUAGAUAUAGGGAGGAACACCGAUGGCGUAGGCAGAUAACUGGCUCAUUCCUGACACUAAGGCACGAAAGCGUGGGUAGCAAACGGGAUUAGAUACCCCCGUAGUCC